RNAcentral lists this unclassified non-coding RNA (452 nucleotides) under uncultured Rhizophydium. Its description in RNAcentral is "sequence contains ITS2". The stretch from base 1 to 142 matches the Rfam family "5.8S ribosomal RNA". The record is from RNAcentral. Lineage: Eukaryota; Fungi; Chytridiomycota; Chytridiomycetes; Rhizophydiales; Rhizophydiaceae.
AACUUUCGACAAUGGAUCACUUGGCUCUCGCAACGAUGAAGAACGCAGCGAAAUGCGAUACGUAAUGUGAAUUGCUUUCCGUGAAUCAUUGAAUCUUUGAACGCAUAUUGCACUCCUUUGGAGUAUGCCUGUUUGAGAAUCGUCUUUAUUCUCGCGAGAGGAGGUCGAGUGUCCCGUUUGGGUGCUUGGAAAUGCAAAAAGGCGCCAGCGCACGCCGUGUGUGAGUGAACGAUUUCGCUUCUCGAAUGCGGCCGUGUGCUUGUGUCUGUGCGGUUGAGGUCGAGUCCUAGCAGAGUCUUCUAGCAGAGAUCUUGCAGCAACUUUUAGUAGCCAAGAGAUCCUCCUAGAGCUAGCAGCUAGCAGCUAGUAGACCCAACCUCAAAGAAACUACUCUAGAUCUCAAAUCAGGCAGGAAGACCCGCUGAACUUAAGCAUAUCAAUAAGCGGAGGCU